RNAcentral lists this ribosomal RNA (301 nucleotides) under uncultured bacterium. Its description in RNAcentral is "partial 16S ribosomal RNA". It matches the Rfam family "Bacterial small subunit ribosomal RNA", at positions 509 to 807 of the family's 1533-position model. The record is from RNAcentral.
CAGUAGCCGCGGGAAUACGAAGGGUGCAAGCGUUACUCGGAAUUACUGGGCGUAAAGCGUGCGUAGGUGGUGGUUUAAGUCCGUUGUGAAAGCCCUGGGCUCAGCCUGGGAAUUGCAGUGGAUACUGGGUCACUAGAGUGUGGUAGAGGAUAGUGGAAUUUCCGGCGUAGCAGUGAAAUGCGUAGAGAUCGGAAGGAACAUCUAUGGCGAAGGCGACUAUCUGGGCCAACACUGACACUGAGGCACGAAAGCGUGGGGAGCAAACAGGAUUAGAUACCCCGGUAGUCCCUGUCUCUUAUAC